This is a long non-coding RNA of Homo sapiens (human), 458 nucleotides long. Ensembl annotates it as long intergenic non-protein coding RNA 870. The record is from Ensembl. Lineage: Eukaryota; Metazoa; Chordata; Mammalia; Primates; Hominidae.
GUUGCAGCUUCAGAAGCCUGUAUUUGUGGACAGAGCUCUUCCGAAGGUUCCAGGAGGAUGAAAACAUCCAGUGACUCCCAGAUGUUGCUGGGCUGGAUAUAUUUAUUUCUAAUAAUGCUCCUGGCUCCACGCUUCCAGAUGGACAGUCCCAAAGAGAAUGACUCGUUUAUGGAACGCACACGCUGUGCCAGGCAUUGUGCACAGAGAGACCCAGUUCCUGCCCUCUUGGAGUUUAUAUGACAUGAGCUGAAGACAGACAAGAAGCAAGUGUAAGAGCUACCAGAGGGAGGAAAGUGGAAGCUACCAGACGGAGGAAGCAUAAACCAGGUCCUGAUCCCUGAUUAAUUGAGAAUCAGCCAGCUUGGGAAGGGGAUGGCUGCGCAAGCCCACAGAACGCAGACUCCCAGAGGAGGCAGGGGUAGGAAAGCUCUUGGCCGUGGCCUGAUUGUCUGGGAGAC